AUAUGCAUUCACAUAUUUUUUUUUCUUGCAGUGUACAUUGUCUCUUGUUAAAGUGUAGCUCCCAGAGGAAAAAGACAGUUCAAACUCUUGCAGGAAAAAUACAGAUUUCACACAAAAGUGAAGAUUAUGUACAAAUCUCUAAAAGCUACCUGUAUGAAAUAGCACAGGAUUAGUGAUUAUUAUCCAUGUACAGUUUGCAUAAUUUGGAUACCCGUGUGGAAAUCCUGGACUUUCGAUUGUACCAUUAGGACCCUGGACUAAACCACCACAGUUUUGCCCUGUAAAAGAAAAGACAUAUGCUAUCCAGAGAGGUGUGAACCAGGAACUUGGGAAAAAAGUCAUUUGGCAGGCAAAGUAGUUGAGAAAAUGCAUCUCAAAUGGGUAU
Long non-coding RNA from Rana temporaria (common frog), 385 nucleotides. RefSeq lists it as uncharacterized. NCBI's taxonomy places the organism in Eukaryota, Metazoa, Chordata, Amphibia, Anura, Ranidae. The transcript has 3 exons. The record is from RefSeq and is a predicted model, not a curated record.